Molecule: non-coding RNA, 28 nt
Filed under: Mus musculus (house mouse)
Lineage: Eukaryota; Metazoa; Chordata; Mammalia; Rodentia; Muridae
Source: RNAcentral
UCCUUUGGUACCUACUAUUCUCAGGGUA